RNAcentral lists this ribosomal RNA (238 nucleotides) under uncultured Stenotrophomonas sp. Its description in RNAcentral is "partial 16S ribosomal RNA". It matches the Rfam family "Bacterial small subunit ribosomal RNA", at positions 116 to 354 of the family's 1533-position model. The record is from RNAcentral. Lineage: Bacteria; Pseudomonadati; Pseudomonadota; Gammaproteobacteria; Lysobacterales; Lysobacteraceae.
CAUCGGAAUCUACUCUGUCGUGGGGGAGUAACGUAGGGAAACUUACGCUAAUACCGCAUACGACCUACGGGUGAAAGCAGGGGAUCUUCGGACCUUGCGCGAUUGAAUGAGCCGAUGUCGGAUUAGCUAGUUGGCGGGGUAAAGGCCCACCAAGGCGACGAUCCGUAGCUGGUCUGAGAGGAUGAUCAGCCACACUGGAACUGAGACACGGUCCAGACUCCUACGGGAGGCAGCAGAG